AUUGAACGCUGGCGGCAUGCUUUACACAUGCAAGUCGAACGGUAACAGGCCGCAAGGUGCUGACGAGUGGCGAACGGGUGAGUAAUGCAUCGGAACGUGCCCAGUCGUGGGGGAUAACUACUCGAAAGAGUAGCUAAUACCGCAUACGAUCUAUGGAUGAAAGCGGGGGACCGCAAGGCUUCGCGCGAUUGGAGCGGCCGAUGUCAGAUUAGGUAGUUGGUGGGGUAAAGGCUCACCAAGGCAACGAUCUGUAGCUGGUCUGAGAGGACGACCAGCCACACUGGAACUGAGACACGGCCCAGACUCCUACGGGAGGCAGCAGUGGGGAAUUUUGGACAAUGGGCGCAAGCCUGAUCCAGCAAUGCCGCGUGCAGGAAGAAGGCCUUCGGGUUGUAAACUGCUUUUGUACGGAACGAAACGGCUCUGGUUAAUACCCGGGGAUAAUGACGGUACCGAAAGAAUAAGCACCGGCUAACUACGUG
This 482-nucleotide ribosomal RNA is filed under the name uncultured bacterium. RNAcentral's name for it is "partial 16S ribosomal RNA". It matches the Rfam family "Bacterial small subunit ribosomal RNA", at positions 30 to 507 of the family's 1533-position model. The record is from RNAcentral.